UGUCCUUGUCUAGGAUUCCUGGAGUCUCCUGAUUAAAAAAAGUUGUUUAUCGCCGGCUCCAUUUCCGGCUCUGGGAUCUCCUCCUAAGAGAAAUAAAGUUACCCGAUCAACUUAC
Molecule: long non-coding RNA, 115 nt
Organism: Xenopus tropicalis (tropical clawed frog)
Lineage: Eukaryota; Metazoa; Chordata; Amphibia; Anura; Pipidae
Exons: 2
Source: RefSeq, a predicted model, not a curated record